Molecule: long non-coding RNA, 14309 nt
Organism: Pan troglodytes (chimpanzee)
Lineage: Eukaryota; Metazoa; Chordata; Mammalia; Primates; Hominidae
Exons: 7
Source: RefSeq, a predicted model, not a curated record
GGGACCACCGCGGAGACGGAUGGGGCUCAGCCGCAGCAGGUUCUGGAGGGACCGUGGCUGCAUCAGAGGAGCUCCGAGGGGACUCAGCGUGCCCUGUGCGUUUGUGUGAGAUCCGUCAGCCUCCCAUCCGCGUGCCCCACCGCCCGGACUAUCCUUGCUUCCAAGAGUGCCCCGUCCCUUUCUCAUCUACAGAAGCUUAAACUGUCGUCACAUGUGGUCUCUGAAUUCUUUCUUCUUCUAAGCCAGGGCUUUGCAACUUUUUUUAAACUGAGACCCACAAUAAGAGGCACAUUGUACAUCACAACCAGUACGUACACGCAGAAGUGAAAUAAGAGUUUGUGAAACAACACUCCCUCUGAUGAGUGAUUCCCUGAUAGAAAUCACAACUUCCAUUAUGGUCAUAGAAAUAGGUGCUUCCAUGCUGCUCUGCUCCUUUUUGAAAAUGCUCGUUAGGACUCAUUAAAUUGAUUUCACAACCAGCUGUUUCACAAACAGGUCUAAGUCGUUGCAGCCUGGAAGCUGCUUCUCUGAGGAGGCUGCGGCAGCACUGACCCGAGGGCCCGUCCUCAUUUCCGCCUCUUCCCGGCCUCUCUCGCACGGGUCGUGAAACCCACUGUGUCCCCAUCACCCCAUCCCAGAGGACUCUCUUCUUCUGUCCCCACCCCACAAUCCUCCUGCUGUACCUUUCCCCAGGCCCCACCGAACUGCACGGUGUCAGUGACUCGCCUCGGUGCCCGGGCACCCACCCCUGGCCGGCGCCAAGCCCGGCCUCAUCCUCGUCCCUCUGGCCUCAGGCUGUGGGAUCUGCCCUCAUUCUGUAAAGGCUUUUGUGUCCCUGAAACGCUUCCUUUGUUGUGACGAGACUAAGGUGUGAGACAGGAUUACAACACACCAAAAUGCAGCCAUGUCUUAGGCCUGGAGUUGUGGGUGACUGGUAGCAUAUUCUUUAUAUAUUUGCAUUGCAUUUUCCAACUUGUCUCCAAUGGAUCACGUUACUUUUAGGACCAGAAAGAAAACUGACAUUAGGAUGAGAAGAAAUGGAAAGGCAUUGCUGGUCCGUCUGUCUGGGUCUCGCUGGUGCCGCCCCUGGUCAGGGGGUGCUGGUGCAGGUGGUCUGUCCCGGAGCCUGUGGCCCAUUUUCAGUGAGGAGCAGGAAAGCCCAAAGCUGUUGCUAGCGGCUGGUGGUGCUGCUGCGGGGGGCUCCACACGGCGGGGCCAUUGCUGCCCCUCAAGGGCACCGUGGGGGCCCCCAGUCUGCGGGGCUGGCGAGUGCCUUCCUGGCACAGAUGUUUUUUAUAUGUUUGUUCCAGCUAUGUCUGGCUAAGCCGCCUCUUUCUAAAUGCAGGGCCUGUGCACACAUUUGCUCCGGGGAUUUUUUUCUACUUUGAAAGGCAGCUCUCAGCAGGGCUGGCUGUGUUUCCUUUGCGAUGUGAGCUGCGCGGUGUCGGAUGUCAUGGAUCUGGGGUGUUGGGGACGUGGAGGAGGGAGGCACAGGCCUCUGCUCGCCAAGGCGGAUCCCAGCCCGUCUGCAGCCUCACCUCCUGUUUCAGUGGCCAUGCUGAUGAUGUCACCCACAUACCGAAGUGAACAUGCUAUUUCCUGACCUGAAGUCGGCCAAGGGGAGCGGGCAAGUCUGUGUGAAUCUUCCUUUCCCCCUGAGAUGGCGAAGUCAACACAGAAGACGUGGUUUCCCUGAGCUCCGACUUCUGGGCUCUGAGUUUCCCCCCAGCUCCCUCCACUUCUCCGCUUUCCGUCUCCUCCAUUUGUCUAAGGGAAGAGACAGGGAAGAAGAAGUGUGGCCUGGGUGGAUUCUGGCCCUAAAGUGAAGCAUAAAAGAAUAAAGAGAAAGAACAGGACAUCUCCACGAGCUCAGGGCAGGCAAAGCUUGCUCAGGGCAGUCAAAUAGGACACAGAAAAUCCAAGCCAUACAGGAAAAGGUUAAUCUCAUUUGACUUCGUUAAAAUGACAAACUUUUGUUCAUCGAAAGACAUCAUUCCAAAAAGAAGAGGCAAGUCAGACUCAGAGAUUGGUGGUCCAUGCAGCCAACAAAUAACCAGAAUAUAUAUAAAGAACACUUACAAAUCCAUAAGAAACAUGCUAACAGCUCUAUUUUUUUAAUGGGCAGAAUACUGGCACAGGAGUUUCACAGAUGAGGAUAUCCAAAUGGUCAGUCCACAUUGGAAAGGUGCUCAGUGUCACCAUUCAUCAGGAGGACAACCACGAGAUGCCAUCAUCCCCCCACAGAAGGCUUGAAGCCGAGAGGACUGACGGGGCCAGUGUCAGAGGGGGUGCGGGGCAAACAGCCCACGCAUUGUGGACAGAAGCCUCAGUGGACGCAGCCACCUUGGAAGCGCUGGUUAUUGGUGAUUCUUUCUCUGCAGGUGGUCCGACCUGUGUGCCCUCACUGGCUCACCACUCUUCCCGUGAGCUUAGGGCAAGCAAAGAUUUCUUACACAGGUCCCGGAACAUUCUUGCAUUCCAUGCAUCUUGGAAAGCUACCCUAUGCACGGCUUUGUUUUCUGCUCCACCUGCGUGGCUGUUACCUGUGGCACCUAAACAUUGCUCAAGGACCUGGCAGCAGCUGCAGCCAUGCUCCUGCCAGGCUCCUGACAAGAUUGGAAAUCACGUGCAACGCUGAGCGCCAUCAGCUGAGAUUUAGACCUUAAAGCUGCUUCUUAUGCUAACAUUUUUUUUCUCAGCAUGGAACUGCGAAGUGUCCUAAAUGUGGAAAAUCGAAUUGGGUGUCAGAAAAAAACCAAUAAGUGCCUCUUCAAUAAUUAACAGAUGGAGAUCCAGACCAACAGCAAAGUUAAUCAAUGCAAAAAGGUGGUGCAGGACAGACAAACAGAAACUCAGGAGCUCCUUUUAGAAGCCAGAGGCUCCUGGCAGGAGCACUCACGACCUCCUCAGGUCACUAAGCUGUGGUAUGCGCCACACUACCUGGCCACGGUCUCUUCCUCAGAUUUGCCAUAAACCUCACCUGGCGUCCUCAAAUACACUUUGACCACGUGGGCAUCAGAACAUCAAGUGGGAAACACGCAUGAAUUUUCCACUCCAGGAUCCUGGAAAAAGAAGCACUUGUUCCUAGAGAACCUGCUUAUUCUGAUCUUUGGGUAACUAGAUAAUUCUUUCUAAAUCCUGCUGAGGGUGAAGAAUAUUGUGUUCCAUGUUUUAAAAACACAUUGGAAGAACACCGUUCUUUCUGAAGCCAGAAGGGAAAUACAUCAACAGCUGAGGUGAGGUUUCGCUACGGUGCUCCGCAGAUUUAGAUAACAUGGUGUCUGAGUCCAGCAGUACAUGCUCUCACCUUCACUGUCUCAGUACAACAGGACACGCUCUCACCUUCACCAUCUGGGUACAGCAAGACGCGCCCUCACCUUUACCGUCUCAGUACAGCAGGACACACUCUCACCUUCACUGUCUCAGCACAGCGGGACACGCCAUCACCUUCACUGUCUCAGUACAGCAAGACGCACCCUCACCUUCACUAUCUCAGUACAGCAGGAUGCGCCCUCACCUUCACCAUCUCAGUACAGCAGGACGCGCCCUCACCUUCACCAUCUCAGUACAGCAGGACACACUCUCACCUUCACUGUCUCAGCACAGCGGGACACGCCAUCACCUUCACCGUCUGAGUGCAGCAGGACAUGCCCUCACCUUCACCGUCUCAGUACAGCAGGACACACCCUCACCUUCACCGUCUCAGCACAGCUGGAUAUGCCCUCACCUUCAUCGUCUCAGCUCAGCGGGACAUACCCUCACCUUCACCGUCUCAGUACAGCAGGACACACCCUCACCUUCACCGUCUCAGUACAGUGGGACAGUGCUCUCACCUUCACCAUCUGAGUACAGUGGGACAGUGCUCUCACCUUCACCAUCUGAGUACAGUGGGACAGCACUCUCACCUUUAUAGUCCCGGUGAGUGAUCUAUGGAACUGGCGCUUUUUUUUAAUUUUAAUUUUUUUUUUUUUGUGGAGUGUCUGAAAAAUCUCUCCAGUGGUGGUGACUGGGGUGAGUUAUCAAGAUGAAGCGAAUUGGACUGAACUAUAUGAGAAAAAGCCAGGCCUGCAGAAGACAGGCUGAUGGAAGCCCACAGAAAUGAGUGAAACUGAAGGCGGGGCAGAGGUUGUCCCAGACCUUAGCUACACACACCCCUCAGAGCUGUUUCUCAAAGAUGUUUACACUAGCAAGAGGCUCAGCGUUCAUCGUUUAUAACAGCUUCUGGGAGCCACAGUUGAGUUUACCGUCUCGCCUUUCAGUACUUAUGUAUGCAGGGUGGCAACUCAAGCUAUCAUGGUCACAGAAUUAAGAGGGACGAACGUGGAUAGGUAGGGUUUCAUUUUCCAUAUCCCUCCAGCAAGCAGGGUGGGUGAGGAUGGGGACGCUUUCUUCUCCUGCUUGAGAGCCGACUUCUUAGAGGCCUUAGUAGACAUCCACCGAACAUCCAACCACCACAGAGGGCAACGGGAAGACCCCCUCAUCCAGGGCAAGCAGCUGCGGAGCUCACACGGGGUCGGGGCGAGGGCAUCCCGCUGGCAUGCGCUUGUGGCCACGGCAGGGGCCCUGGAAGAGAGACAGGAAUUAGUCAUCCCACGGUUUGUCGUCUGGCGGUGUAGUUUGACACUUGAGAGAUGUGAUCUUUAUUUCAGAAACACCAUCUGGCCAUCAGCCCAAUUCUUGACUUUUUCAUUUCUCUCAAGAUGAUCAUUAGGAGUGGUUUCAACAAAACUGAACACAGAAUUUUGAGGGCCCCAAUCAUGACUCAACCAGAGCCCUCACUGAAUUCUUCAUGAGUCAGCCCGGCCCUCUCCACUGACUUCACCCUAGCGGGCACCUGUCUUUCUUCUUCUUUUAUCACUUUUUGCUUCUCUUUUGGUUUCCAGCUCUGACUGAAUUCAGACCCAACACCUUCCAAUUCUUCCCGGCCCCCUCAGGGAAACCCAGAGGCAAAUCUGAGUGCAGGGAGCGGGGGCUUCGCGUGGAGCUGGGAAUUCCCCACGCUGAGAGGGACCUGAGACGCCGGCGCCUUCCCAGGCUGCCCCGCGCUGAGAGGGACCUGAGACGCCGGCGCCUUCCCAGGCUGCCCCGCGCUGAGAGGGACCUGAGACGCCGGCGCCUUCCCAGGCUGCCCCGCGCUGAGAGGGACCUGAGACGCCGGCGCCUUCCCAGGCUGCCCCGCGCUGAGAGGGACCUGAGACGCCGGCGCCUUCCCAGGCUGCCCCGCGCUGAGAGGGACCUGAGACGCCGGCGCCUUCCCAGGCUGCCCCGCGCUGAGAGGGACCUGAGACGCCGGCACCUUCCCAGGCUGCCCCGCGCUGAGAGGGACCUGAGAUGCCGGCGCCUUCCCAGGGAGCUCUGGAGAGCGGCCUCAGGUUGGGGAGGAGGGGGUCUGCCAUCCUCCCCUCUCUACGGGGAGGGCUGCCUUGUGAUGGGGGCUCAGGAUCCACUACAGGGCCCCGACCCCGAGGCAGAAGUGGGGGUAUUGCUUCCUGCCACCCCUCACCAGGCAGGGAUGCCAGGGAUUCCGCAGCCGGAGUCAAACCUACGUUUACCUGAAUGGAAGGAGAGAGGCGUCUCUGGCCGAAGGAAGAGGGGAAGUGGCAACUCCCAGUGAAGAGGUCGUCGCCAAGCCACAGGAUGGCUGGUGGCCACUUCGGGAGGAGGCUCCGGGACCUGGGGAGGAAAGGCCAAGCGAGGCGGGUGUGCGUGCAGAGGACGCUCUGUUCAGAUUCCUCCCCAAAUAGUGACGGAGCUCCAGGAGCUGCCCUGUCAGGGAUCUGUGGGGCAUGUGUGUUUCCUUUACCACCUCCGGAAACUGCACUACAAUGGCAGUGAGUGGAGGGGAUGACCCUGCGGAACGAAGAAAACAGCAAGCCACAGUGGUUCGGAGGAAAGGCCGGCAGUGGCACAAAGUGGGUCUGCAGGGGCAGGCGAGCUGCAUCCCAAGCCCAGGAAAAGCCCGAGACACCGGGAGCUGGGCUGCCCUAGGAGGCUGCAGACAGAGGUGGGGCCACCAGUUCCAAAAGCAACUCCAAGACCUCAAGGCCGUCUUCCAACAAGCUCGGCCGUAGACGCACGUCCUCCCACCAGGCGGGAGCAGGGCACCCUUAGCCAGGGCUGCAGGGAGGGCGGACGGAUGCCACGGGUGCUGGGCCCUGCUUCCCGCAACAGCAGCCCAGCUGCAAAAGGUCACCAAGAUUUGAUGACAGGGAGCACGUGAACUCUGGGCUCACUCCAGCCCUCCUGGCUGGCUGCCGAAUGCUGGCCGCAUGACAUUUUGCAGUUCAGAACCCAAGUUGAAGAGGGGUAUGUGGGACCCCUCAACAGCAGCAAGGAAACCCGUGGGCCGUGGGCAAUGCCUUGGUACAUUCAGGAAAAGGAUAGCCUACCUAGAAGUUGAAUCCAACCAUAUUAUCAGUCAAGAGUAAAGAGAAAAAGACGUUUUCAGACCAGUACAGAGGCUGCUAGAGGAAGUGCUUCACCAAAACGAGGCAUCAGCCCUGAAGGAGGACCUGGCGCCAGGACACAGGAGAGACACGGGGGGCUCUGGGGAUGUGGGGAGGGGCUCCUGGGUGACAGUGCAGGAGAGCUGAGGGCUUCCAGGGGGGUCUGAACCAGCAUUCUCAUUGUGUGGAGAGAUUUCCAUUUCUGACUGAGAGGUUGGGAGAGAAUUGAGGAUGGGUAUAUGAGCAAAGCCAUUUGAAAAUCAAGGCAGUUAUUAAUUCCAGGCAAAAUAUAAUUUUAUAAGAUGGGCCAUGUAAUCACAACACAUUAGGCUACAUUGGCUGCUGUGACCAAGGCCAAAAUAAUAGUGGUCUAAAUAAUCUAGACGCUCACUCUCUCAGGAAGCUGUUGGCAUGGAAGUGGAUACAGCAGCUCUGCAGGGCCAGGCCUGGCUGUCCUGAGCAUAUGGCAGGCAUCUGCUCACAAUCUGCCCACCAUGAAGCCCACACUUCCCUCAGGGGAGACCAGGGGAGUGGUGUCUUUCCCCUUCCCAUGUCCUGCCAGGAAGCUGUAUGCUUCAUGUCCACUCAUGGGCACUGACCAAUGGCCAAAGCCCAGUCCCACAGCCCACUGCAGAGGAGGCUUGCGCACCUGCCCACAGGCCCAGCAACACUGGGAUUUCUAUAAAAGAUGUCUCAAGGCAACUGGAGGACGUUGGGCCUUGGAUGCUAUUAAGGGAUGACCGCUAGUUUAGCUGGGUAUGAUAGCAAUAUUGUGGUGAUACCGGUAAAAGCCCUUACCCGUAAGAAAUAUAAACAAAAGUGUUGAUGGAUGAGAUGACAUGGUGCCUGAGGUCUGCUUCAGAAUAUCCCACAUGUAUUUAGGUAUUACUCGUGUGACUAAGAAGUAAAUUUUUUAAAAGAUCAAAGAAUUUCUCCUGCCACAUCUAGAAGAGGAGGCUGGAAGGUGAUGGGGGACCGGCCAUCCCUGUCCAUGGGCAUACCCACAGCUGCUGUGAACACCCACAGAUGAGCUGAUGCCCACCCAGCGUGGGGUCCACCUCCACCUGGGCCCGAUGCAGGAGGGGCCCAGGGAAGGAAGCAAACAGCCCUGGAGGUGGACAUUUCCAACAGCCCCAAAUGGUCACCCUCCCCAGCAGGACAUUAGCAGAAAAUACCUAUAACUUAGAAAUCAUUGAAAAGCAGUGAAACACUUUUUUUUUAAUUGAAGGUGAGAACCAAAAGGAAGUUUAAAGAAUAUUCCAAGUGAGCAGAGGAGGUGGCGGGAUCACCCAAAACUGCUACUUUGUGGUUAUGGUCAUUAUAAGCAUAAAAUAUAUCUAAAAUACUUGAAAGUUAUCACUUUAAUAAAAAUAAAACAACAAAGAGAUAGAAAAAGCCUUGCUGAAGCAAGGGAGGCUGAUGUGCACAGGACGAACAGAAGUGAAGUGAGGAAGAACAAGGGAAACUGCGUGGCCCGGGCCCGCGUGCACGCCUAGCUGGGUUUACCACCCCCGCGAGGGCCUCAUGCCAUGCGUGGACACCGUCAGCCCAGUGGCCAGAGCCUGGCUGGGUUUACCACCCCUGCAAGGGCCUCAUGCCACACGUGGACACCGUCGGGCCAGCGGCCAGAGCCUGGCUGGGUUUACCACCCCCAUGAGGGCCUUGUGCCACACAUGGACACUGUUGGCCCAGAGGCCAGAGCUCCCCAAAGCCAGGGCUGCUGCCUGGAGAACAGUUACCCUUGGGGUGGGAGCGGUACCUCCCACGAGCUGCAAUGGGACUGUGUGUGCCGCCGGCACCUGGCAUUGUGCAUUCUGCGUGUGUCCCAGGAGGACCCUGUGCAGUGACUGUUCCACACUUUCCACAUUUGCUUCUCCUGCGAGUCGCAAUGGGGCUGCAUGUGCCGCUGGCCCCUGGCAUUGCACAUUGCGGGUUUGUGCCAGGAGGACCCUGUGUGGGGACUGUUCCACACUUUCCACAUUUGCUUCUCUGGUAGCAGGUGAGCUCCGGGAUUCCGUCAGUGCUACCUCCGCGGGUCUCCUGAAAUAUUCAAAGAGUAUGAACAGGUUAAAAGUUUUAACCCCUGAAUAGCUGGGAUGUAAAAAAUGAAAUCUGGCAAGUGGUUAAACGAAAUUACAGACCUAAUUGCUUACACUUAAAAUAAUACUAAAGCAAAUGUGAGAUUGUGUUUAACUUGGAGGACCAGCACCGUCGGCAACGUGGUUCUGUUCUAAUUUUUCACCAGGGAGGGCUCUACAUUCCAGGCUGUUAUGAAAUGAAGUCCUCAGUGUCUGUGAAGUUCAAGUGUUUUAAAUGGAGCAGAGGCCUCUCCAGGGAUUGCCCACCCCAUUUCCACCUCAGUCCUGUUGGGAAACCAUCCCUGCUGCCAUAAGCAGAGAGCAGGAGCUCCCACCUUCUGAUGCAGCGGCUAGAUACCAGGAGGGCCACGGAAGCUGGGACCCUGAGAGACUCCGAACCACAGAUCCAACUGGGGGAUGCCAGGCGCUGACAGAACCACGGGGCCCUAAAAGGCGGAAACCGUGACUCCACAGGACUCCUCUCUUCUGCAACCUGCUCCAAGGCUGCCCCUGUGCAGAGCUCAACUAUGCGGCUGUGGCCCUGACCCCUCUGCCAGGCUGCCCGCACCACUCCAGGGGACAUGGUUUCCACUGUGGGCAGCUGGUGCAGUGUGACCGUGGUGCAGGUGGGGCCUCUGGGCAGAGGACAUCUUGGUAAACUGGGCUGCAGCAGGGCCCAAAGGUCGGGAUUGAGGGGAGGCCCUGCCAGGUGACCUCUGCAAGGACCUGGGGAACUGCACGCAAAAUCGCAGAGAGAGAAGGAUGUGGUUCUUAACCAGCUUCCACCCUGUCUUGCAGCCUUUGUGUUUACUUCCCAGUUGAUCUUUAAUUUCAGUUGCCAAAGCAGCUGUUUGCACCGUGCAGAUGAGUCCCAGGGGCCUCAGACCCGCCCAGCCGCCCGCCCAAGGCGAGAAUUGGGGCUGCGGCUGGGCUGGGCAGACAGGGUUGGGGGGCACAGCUCACAGGGCCCCCCACAUUCCGCGCUGCCAAGUCUUCUUUUUCCAGUAGUCCCAAGCUAACUUGAAGAAAGAAAAAUAUGAGGGAGGGAAAGAGAGAAAGAGAGGUGAAAAAAUAUGGUCAUAAAUCUGGGACCUGUUUUUAUUGGUGCUUCUAUUUCAGAUUUCCAGUUUGGAAAAAUACUUUUUUAUGCAUCUCAGGCACCUUGGUGAUGGUGGAGUGAUGAUGAUAAAUGCAAAAAGUUUUUAAAAGUCCUUUUUAUGCCCAGGAGAACAAAGUCUGGUACAGUGCAGCCACCUCAGGGCCUGUCAUCCUCAGACUAAAGAGGGUUGGCUUGUCCAAUUUAACUUUGCCCCAUGCCUCCGUGCUGGUGUGACUGUGCCAGGAUGCCCUCGGUGCCCUGAGACCCCGUCCAUGCCUGGCUGCGCUUCCCAGGUUUGUCUUAGGGAGCAGAGGUUGGCCAGGCGCCCUGUGGGAGGCUCAGCAGGGAAAGCGCCUGUUGUUGGGGAAUAGCUCGGGGGAGGCGCUUUCAGAUGAACCGCAGGGAACAGGUGAAGAGUGUGGACACUGGAGCAUGGGGCGGUGAGAAGACACAAUACGAGGCCUGCCGUCCGAACGCGGACCCUGCAGCCCCUGCGGCGGGAGGCCGCGAACACAAGGCUGAGUUUGCGCCUCUGAUUUGCGCCACGUGAUGGGACUUGCCGGGGCCUCCCUGCCCGUGAAGAGACUGUUUUUGCUGUGAGUCUGCGUGCACAGUGGGUCUGCUGCGCCUGCAUAGGUGGGUUUAAUUGGCUCCAGCUGCACUGGCGGCGCCUCUCCUCCACUAGGAUGUGGCGCAUGGAGUUAUGGGUGGAGCCCUUUGAAGCAGCUGCAAGUCAUUCUGUCGUAUAAACUGAAAGAAGAAGAGGGUGAAAAAUCCAAGCCCGUGACUCUGCCCGCUCCACAGCUGUGCUCACACAGCUCCACGAGACGGCCGCCCAAACAAAGCUACCUCCGUGGGCCUUGGCCAGCUGACAAGAGGAAGAAAAGGAGAUUACUCUAAGCUCCAGGUAUUCUGGUGAGCUGGAAGCUGGCCGGGAGAGCCAGGCGCCAGUGACACCUCCAGCCAGCAGGCCCAUGUGGAGGCCCCAUCCCGGGAGCGUGCCCAGGGGCGAGGCGUGUCCGGCCACCACCGACCACCAGCCGCCCAGGAGGCAGAGGUGACCCGAGAGGGGGCUGCUCGGUUCAGGGAGGAGCCCAGCCCCCAACGCAGGGCACGGAUGGAAUCUCUCAGGGUUCCCUGGGCAUCCUGCCCACCCAAGCUGACUGCUAAGGUCAUCAAAACGGAGCAGGAGCCCAGGCCUAGAGUGUCCAGGCCAAGUGACCACCAUGAGUGCCUGAGAGGCCGGACGUGCAGGCUGGCUCCUGGCUUCUCACCUGAGCCUCCCCAGCUGCUUGCCUCCACGUCUGAGAAUGCCCGGCGCCCCAGCAUGGCCUUGGGGAGGCGGCAGUGCUGAGUGCAUGGGGCCGAGAGGAUGGCUCUGGGCCAGUCGGGUGCUGGGAUAGUGGCUGGCAGGGGACCCAUUUGGAGAAGAGCCCACUGCUCUGAGCAGCUCCAGCUGCAGCUCCCACCGCCCUCUUGUGAGGGCCUGCCUGGGCCCGUGUCCAAAUCCCAGCACCACAGGCCAGAUGGCCGGCAGGUCUCACGGGGUGAGCACAGCAGAGGCUGCUUUUACACAGGGACCCCUGGGGCCCCCUCCAAGGGCUGCUGCCUGAGAGGGAGCGUGGCCCACGGAGACCCCCUGGACUCGGCCUCUGGGGCCCACCUGGUGGUUUCUGAGGGUGCUGCCAGGCCAGAAGCUCAAAUCCUGCUGGCUGCGCUGUCCUGAGGCCACAGCCAACACCCACUCCUGCCUUCAGCCCGGUGUCCCUUCCCACUGUUAGCGGGGCCUGGGGGAUGAAGGAAGACCACCACAGUGCGGCGGGAGAGAGAAAGCCCUCGGCUUCAUCCUGGGUAUGUUGUGGAGAUGCAGACGGGUCCGAGGUCAGACGAGGGUACUGGACUUGCCGAGGUGUCCACACUCAAAGGGAGCGUCUGGAGCGGGGGGCGGCGUGAGGAGUUCAGGGGCUUCCCGGGAGCAGUUCCAGCUGACAGAGCUCCAUGGAAAUCAGACAUGACCUUGGGGACCGCCGACCUGUGGGGUGUGCACCAGAACCCCACACUGUGGGAGCCCAGCCUUCCUCUCACUGGGUGGCAGUGGCUGGGCUCACACAGACCACAGCAGUGUCCAGCUCCCCUGUCAAGGAGAGACUCCUCCUCAGGGUGGGCUGCGGGACCAGCGCCAGCGGUGAUGGGGUCCAUCCUCACCGUCUCCUGAAGGGCCCGGCCUGGCCUGAGACUUCGAUCUCGGUGAUGACAGCCACCAGCUGGAUGAACUGGCCCCGCGUCCUUCCUACUCCUCAUCUCCCUUCUCUUGCUGGGACUUCACAAGAGAGCCCGAGUUACUGAGUCAACAGGAAGUAGAAGAGACUCCCAUGCAGCUCAGGCCCCCGUGGCAGGACCAGGAAGGAGGGAGAGGUGGCGCGUUGCCUGGGUGCUCAUGGACACCAGGUCUGCUCCCCAUGCACUUGUCGUCUGUGCCACGCUGCAGGGGCCAGGCAGCCACAAGCAUCGUUUGGGCCCCGAGCCGGCCAGGCUGGAGUCAGGUCCCACUAAGCCGCAGGUGCCUCUCGCUUGGGGGUGGGGGCUGAAGGGUGUCUUCCUGCCGUGGAGCUGUAGCUGGUGCCUGGUUCCCUCUGUCCAGACGCAGCUCUGGGCUUGCAGCCUCUGCCUCCCUGAUGGGACAGCAACCCUGGGCAUCGCUGGAGGCUCUGAGGUCUGCACGGGGCACCAUCCCGUAUUCUGCAGGGUCCAGAGACACAGAGAGGGAGGCCAGCCCAGCACCAUUGUGGGAGAAAGGCCAGUGAUGUCAUCAGGGGGCUGAGGCUGGCAGCCACCUUCUAGUGGACAUUACUGCUGAGAACUGGCCAGGUGCCUGCACUCGCUGCCAUGAGUAAUUGCCCAGUGGCCCGUGAGGUGCUGGCAGCUCCUCCGUUUACAAGUUAGGAGACAGGUACAGAGAGACCAGCUGGCCUGUUCCAGCAGCACUGCUCUGGCUCCUGACCACCACCACAUCAGCAGCAAAACCGCCAGGGCUGAAAUCAAUACAGAUUUAUCCAUUCUCACCAGGCUGCGGGCGCCUUGCAGGUCUGUGCUCCUAGCUGGGGGCCCAGGGAGACUCUGCUUCCAGGACUGCCCGAGUGUGGAAGGAACCCAGCUGCCAGCUGCAGGACUGAGGUCCCAUCUCCUCCCUGGCCUCGCACAGGCCCUCCUGCCUGCCAAGCAGCAAGUGAUGCCGCACCUCAGUCUCUCCCUCUGCUCUCCAGUUCCCUGGACCCCCAGCCCAAGCUCCGGUGAUUACCAGGAGAGUCGCACGUCUGUGAUGGUGGUCUCCCAGGCACGCAUGACCAUGGAGCACGGGAACGUGUGCGCCUGCUGGGAGCACAUGGGAAGACUGCACGCCGGGUGCUGAGGCUUCCUGUGAAAAAAAGAACCUGAAACAAAUUUCCAUCAGACAGUGUGUGUCUAGAAAAUGGCUAUAAAGUGUUCUGCCUCCUGCUGAUUUUAUUGGAAUCGCGUCUGAGCUGCAGGACUAAGCACGUGGGCCUGGGAAUGGAAUCGCGUCUGAUCUGCAGGACUAAGCACGUGGGCCUGGGAACUGUCCACGCCGGGGCACGUAGCGUUGCUGAGGAGCAGGAUGGACGCCCACACACCUGAGUCCACCCACACAGGCCUCUGGAUGUGCCACUGUGGACGGUCGGGGCAGGGGCCUCCUGCCCUCAAGCUGUGUGUGGCAGCCACGGGUCCCCGUGCCUGCAGCCUGAGACAGGCGCCUGGAGUCGCUGCCUGGGGCAAGUGAGUUCUGCUGGAGGAAACGAUGUAGAACUGUGAGGAUGCCGCAAGAAGGCAACAGCAGAGUCAGAAGUUCAGGAGAAGACAGAGGUCUUCCUGAGACCCCGGCUGGUGUGGACACAAGGAAGCCCCGCCGGAGGGCCCUCUUUACAUGGGGAGGCCUGAACCCUGAGCAGUCAAGGAAGUUUUGGAAGUGAGUAGCUAUGGCUUCUCCACCUGCUCCUGCCUGGACGGCGCCCUUCAGAACUCAAGCCCAUCCAUGAGACAGCACCCACCGGGGCCAGUGAGUCACUCCAUGAAGGCCAAAGCAGGUUUUUCAUCACCUCGCAAGGGCCUGGAGUUGGGAGAGAAAGAGCAAAAUGAAAAGGCACCUCUGAUGACAGCCGCCACCCCUGAGCCCCGAGCCAUUCUCUCUCGGAGCUGCAGGAGCCACGGCCGCAUGCGCUGCAGAGGGGCUGCCUGUGUGCAGCCUGAGGACAUGGAGGCUUUAUGUGCAGCCAGACGGAGUGGCCCUGUGGCUCUCCACAGCCCUGACCUGUGCCCCUGCACAGAGCUCAGCGAGGACGCUACCUUCUAGAGCGGAUACCCACAGAUGCACCGUGGAGUCCCCUUGCAACCCGCAGGAACCACGUUUUUCUGCUUAACCCAUUGUUUUAGGGUCCUGGGGCUGCCAGGUCAAUGUUCCACAAACUGGGGGACUUAACAAUUUAUCCUCUCAGAACCCUGGAGGCCAAAGUCUGAAACCCUGGCGCAGCAGGGCGUGCUCCCCGGGUGCUCCUGGGCGUAGGAAGGACGUGCCCCCCGGGUGCUCCUGGGCGUGGGCGUAGGAAGGACGUGCCCCCCGGGUGCUCCUGGGCGUGGGCGUGGGCAGGGCAUGCCCCCCCGGGUGCUCCUGGG